This 911-nucleotide ribosomal RNA is filed under the name Penicillium copticola. RNAcentral's name for it is "LSU rRNA". It matches the Rfam family "Eukaryotic large subunit ribosomal RNA", at positions 35 to 964 of the family's 3401-position model. The record is from RNAcentral. Lineage: Eukaryota; Fungi; Ascomycota; Eurotiomycetes; Eurotiales; Aspergillaceae.
AUAGCAUAUCAAUAAGCGGAGGAAAAGAAACCCACCGGGAUUGCCCUAGUAACGGCGAGUGAAGCGGCAAGAGCUCAAAUUUGAAAGCUGGCCCCCGCGGGGUCCGCAUUGUAAUUUGCAGAGGAUGCUUCGGGAGCGGUCCCCAUCUAAGUGCCCUGGAACGGGCCGUCAUAGAGGGUGAGAAUCCCGUAUGGGAUGGGGUGCCCGCGCCCGUGUGAAGCUCCUUCGACGAGUCGAGUUGUUUGGGAAUGCAGCUCUAAUUGGGUGGUAAAUUUCAUCUAAAGCUAAAUAUUGGCCGGAGACCGAUAGCGCACAAGUAGAGUGAUCGAAAGAUGAAAAGCACUUUGAAAAGAGAGUUAAAAAGCACGUGAAAUUGUUGAAAGGGAAGCGCUUGCGAUCAGACUCGCCUGCGGGGUUCAGCCGGCCUUCGGGCCGGUGUACUUCCCCGCGGGCGGGCCAGCGUCGGUUUGGGCGGCCGGUCAAAGGCCCCUGGAAUGUAACGCCUCUCGGGGCGUCUUAUAGCCAGGGGUGCCAUGCGGCCUGCCCGGACCGAGGAACGCGCUUCGGCUCGGACGCUGGCAUAAUGGUCGUAAGCGACCCGUCUUGAAACACGGACCAAGGAGUCUAACAUCUACGCGAGUGUUCGGGUGUCAAACCCGUACGCGCAGUGAAAGCGAACGGAGGUGGGAACCCCCCCGGGUGCACCAUCGACCGAUCCUGAUGUCUUCGGAUGGAUUUGAGUAAGAGCGUAGCUGUUGGGACCCGAAAGAUGGUGAACUAUGCCUGAAUAGGGCGAAGCCAGAGGAAACUCUGGUGGAGGCUCGCAGCGGUUCUGACGUGCAAAUCGAUCGUCAAAUUUGGGUAUAGGGGCGAAAGACUAAUCGAACCAUCUAGUAGCUGGUUCCUGCCGA